UACCCUGCUGUAGCAGACGGACUACUAUCAGAGACUCGAACUAGGGUCGUUAAACUCUGGAGUCCGAAUGCUGGCCUCUUAACGCUGUACACCACUCAGCAGGGCGAGUAAACUUUGGAAAAAAAAGGACAUUUAUCUUUUGUCCUUCAAUUUUUUAUUUUUUUUUUUGUUAUCGUUUUUCUAAAUCUAUUAAGCUUCUUGUGCAAUAUUGUUCCACACAAAUUACACAUGGACACCUAGCUAUUUUUUUAUUGGCAUUCACAAAAUGGGACUGGAUGUUGGACGGCUUACCAAAGCCUUCCUGCUACCCGAAUCCCUGCUUGGAAACCUGCUGGCCGCGGCAGCACCAUGUUUUCACCACACUCUUCCGCUUCAGCUGUCUUUUUUGCCUCAUGGCUAUACCCACACUGACCACUCCUUCAAUGAAGACAGUAAUGAGAUCAUCUGCACACUCCACAGAGCUCCAGAGUUACUGUUCAUAGCAAAAGUGUAAUGCUGUCCUUGGAGAUUUUCACCUAAGACUGUGAGUGUGAGUGUGUAAUGGAUUUCAAAGUGUUUAAGUGUUCAGAGCACUCUACAGCCUGGUAAGGUGGCAAGUUUGAAAAGAGCAGCAGAAGGUAUCAGUACUGUAGUGUAACUUGUUCUUUUCCUUUCCUAACAGUGAACAGAGUGCCGAUUAUUAUCGACAGCUACGUCCACCCGGGGUGAAAGUAGUGUGGGAGACCAUCAGGACCCAGCUGGGUUUCCUUGGUCCAGAGGUUUGGAGAAACCUCUUCCUUUUCUUUCAUCACAGCUGUCCUGUGCCAGAUGUUCUGUUGACCCACUGAGAGAGGCGUGUUUGAGAAAGAUCAGGAAGACUGAAGCUCAUGGUAGGAAUGAAGGAGGACCUUGUGAGCUCCACCAGCAGCUCCCUCACAAGGAACUGUUCACAAGUCCACUGCAGGCACGCCCCAGAAGAUGGAUAAAGGCAGCGUUUCAUGAAGACACUGGAACCAAUCUAUCUUCAUAACAGCAGGAUAAAGACAUGGUGAUAAAUGAGUGUGUGGGCCGUCUGCUGAGGACCAGGAGCUCAGGACACUCAGACGGGGGCGUCGCAGCAGGAGUCACCGCGCACCACAAUCCUCUGCUGUUCUGAGAUGUCACACUCCUGCCUGCACAUAGAAACCACAGUGAAGUCAAAGUUCCACCUGCACCUCCACCUGUUCUUGCAACAGCAUGAACACUGACAGAGGAGGAAGGUGGAGGCGCAGCUCCAGCAGAGCAACACCAGAGGU
Oreochromis niloticus (Nile tilapia) is the source of this 1274-nucleotide long non-coding RNA. RefSeq lists it as uncharacterized. The transcript is spliced from 4 exons. NCBI's taxonomy places the organism in Eukaryota, Metazoa, Chordata, Actinopteri, Cichliformes, Cichlidae. The record is from RefSeq and is a predicted model, not a curated record.